UACACGUUUUCUGAAAUAUCAAUCUUAAAAGAAAAUGGAUUGGGCAACCUUGAAAGAAAAUAAGAUCUCAGUAUCUAGAGUAAAAUAAUGCAUGUUGGGAGGCUCUGAACACAAAAAUGGAUGAGAAACGAUGACAACCUCGUAUCAGUGGAGACCCUAGUGUUUAGAUUAUGGUCAUUAAUACCAUUUUUCCACUGACAAGAAUUUGAACUCUUUAGCAAUGUAACUAAUUUCAGGAUGAUGCACAGAGAGUACCAAACCAUCCCUGAUUAUAUUGUUGGGCCAAAAGGCAAAGGAAGCAAAGAUUGCUGGAGUUUUGUGAAAAGGACACACAAAAAAAGG
Molecule: long non-coding RNA, 342 nt
Filed under: Homo sapiens (human)
Lineage: Eukaryota; Metazoa; Chordata; Mammalia; Primates; Hominidae
Description: HSALNT0180170
Source: RNAcentral